RNAcentral lists this transfer RNA (84 nucleotides) under Paenalicyclobacillus contaminans. Its description in RNAcentral is "Alicyclobacillus contaminans tRNA-Leu". It matches the Rfam family "tRNA". Rfam says of the family: Transfer RNA (tRNA) molecules are approximately 80 nucleotides in length. Their secondary structure includes four short double-helical elements and three loops (D, anti-codon, and T loops). Lineage: Bacteria; Bacillati; Bacillota; Bacilli; Caryophanales; Alicyclobacillaceae. The record is from RNAcentral. RNAcentral also lists the same sequence under 1 other name.
GUCGGGGUGGCGGAAUUGGCAGACGCGCACGUUUGAGGGGCGUGUGGGUUUCCCGUACGGGUUCAAGUCCCGUCCUCGACACCA